Long non-coding RNA from Cyanistes caeruleus (blue tit), 335 nucleotides. RefSeq lists it as uncharacterized. NCBI's taxonomy places the organism in Eukaryota, Metazoa, Chordata, Aves, Passeriformes, Paridae. The record is from RefSeq and is a predicted model, not a curated record.
CCUGUGCGCCCCUCCCGACGGCGGCACCAGUUACCCAUCAGUUAUGGGAACAAGUUAACGAAUCCUGAGGCUUCCAACAAUUCAAUUAACAUUUUUCUUUGGAGAGCUUUUGAAAUAAGCCCCUGAUUUGCCCAUCAUAAGUGAUUAGGUGCUUUGACAGUGCACUGAUUUUUUUUCUUUUUUCUGCGUAUUUAGACCACAAGUGUUCAACUUCAAGGAGUCUGCGUGUCCAGUGGAGCUGCCAAUGUAAUGCAAGUUGUGAAUCUUGACCCUUGAGCAUCCUGUUUUCUCUUGGAGAUCAAUAUCCAGAUGUAUGGGUGAUUAUUGUGGCUUCA